GCCUAUGGCUCUACCACCCUCAACAUGCCUGAUCUCAACUGAUCUUGAAAGCUAAGCAGGGCUGGGCCCAUUAGUACUUGAAUGUGAGAAAGUGAUAUAAGAUUGUGAUUAGACU
Molecule: ribosomal RNA, 115 nt
Filed under: Jaculus jaculus (lesser Egyptian jerboa)
Lineage: Eukaryota; Metazoa; Chordata; Mammalia; Rodentia; Dipodidae
Source: RNAcentral